Eriocheir sinensis (Chinese mitten crab) is the source of this 796-nucleotide long non-coding RNA. RefSeq lists it as uncharacterized. The transcript is spliced from 2 exons. The record is from RefSeq and is a predicted model, not a curated record. Lineage: Eukaryota; Metazoa; Arthropoda; Malacostraca; Decapoda; Varunidae.
GGGGGGCAGCGUUAGGUCAGGUCACACUGAGGUUAUUGUAUUGAGUGUAAGUCAUAGGGUGCGUGGGGUUGAAAGUGAGGUAAGGUGUGGUGGGUGUGGGUGAGGUGAGGUUAGGUGUGGUUGGAAAGAGGGAGAGAGGGCAGGUGGAGAGAGGUAGAUAAGAGUUAGAUGAGGUUGGGUAAGGUAAAGUUAGAUUGGAAGGGGUUGGAAGAGGUUAGAAGGGAUUGGGUAAGGUUUGGAGGGGUUUGGGUGGGUUUGGUUGAGGUUAGAAGAGGUUGGGUAAGGUUUGGAGGGGUUUGGGUGGGUUUGGUUGAAGUUAGAAGAGGUUAAAAGAUGUUGGGUGAGGUUAGAAGGGGUUUGAGUGGGGUCUGUUGAGGGUAGAAGGGGUUGGGUGAGGUUAGAUGGGGUUGGGUGAAACUGGGUGAGGUUAGAAGUUUAGGUUAAGUGAGGUGACCUAAGUAAAGUGGAGUGAGUUUAAGUAAGAUUAGGUUGGGUCAAAUAGAGUUGAGUUUGACUUGGUGGAAAGGGUUUCGAUUUCAUUAAAGGGUUCCAGAUAUCGAUUAAAGGGUUCAGGAUGCUUUCAGGAGGGAUCAAAAGGGAUUAAGGGGAUCGAAUAGUUUAAAGAGCAGGAGAAUAUCGAUUAAAGGGUUCAGGAUGCUUUCAGGAGGGAUCAAAAGGGAUUAAGGGGAUCGAAUAGUUUAAAGAGCAGGAGAGGAGUGAUACAGGGGAUUGGAGGGGUCCCGUUAGGCAUCAAGCACCACUCAGGGUCACACGGGGAAGGGGUUUGAGGUCAUAA